Molecule: non-coding RNA, 238 nt
Filed under: Harpegnathos saltator (Jerdon's jumping ant)
Lineage: Eukaryota; Metazoa; Arthropoda; Insecta; Hymenoptera; Formicidae
Description: Eukaryotic large subunit ribosomal RNA
Rfam family: Eukaryotic large subunit ribosomal RNA
Source: Rfam by way of RNAcentral
UCUGGCACUGUAAGGAGACAUGAGAGGUGUAGCAUAAGUAGGAGAUGGCAACAUCGCCGGUGAAAUACCACUACUUUCAUCGUUUCUUUACUUACUCGGUUGGGCGGAGCGCGUGCCCCGAGGGCUUACGCCCCGGCGGUCACGUGUUCUAGAGUCAAGCGUGUAAGAGUGGCGUGAGACCUCGGCCGAUCGCCGUUAAUACUCCCGCGUGAUCCGAUUCGAGGACACUGCCAGGCGG